Molecule: ribosomal RNA, 384 nt
Filed under: uncultured bacterium
Lineage: Bacteria
Description: bacterial SSU rRNA
Rfam family: Bacterial small subunit ribosomal RNA
Source: RNAcentral
GACGAACGCUGGCGGCGUGCUUAACACAUGCAAGUCGAGCGGUAAGGCCCUUUCGGGGGUACACGAGCGGCGAACGGGUGAGUAACACGUGGGUGACCUGCCCUCAGCUCUGGGAUAAGCCUGGGAAACCGGGUCUAAUACCGGAUAUGACUCCAUGACGCAUGUUGUGGGGUGGAAAGCCUUGUGCGGCUGAGGAUGGGCCCGCGGCCUAUCAGCUUGUUGGUGGGGUGANGGCCUACCAAGGCGACGACGGGUAGCCGGCCUGAGAGGGCGACCGGCCACACUGGGACUGAGACACGGCCCAGACUCCUACGGGAGGGCAGCAGUGGGGAAUCUUGCGCAAUGGGCGAAAGCCUGACGCAGCGACGCCGCGUGAGGGAUGAC